UUUAAAAACUAGUGAUCUCAUCUGAUCUUUCUGUUUUAAACAAGGUAGUUUUUGAUGGUUUACUAGACGUGACAUCACAGUUUCCUGUUUCGUAUUUUAGCUACACUGGAGAGAGCCAGUUGCCUGCGUCCUACUGCUAUGGGGGCUAAUAUCCCUGAAAGAACUGCCAGGACAUCUUGUGAGAGAAGUUCAUGUUCAUGUCGGUUGGAGUGGAAGCUAGGAUGGUCACGGAACAGUUCUUGUCUCAGGCCAUGGCAACUAGACUGAAUGUAAUCUGGCCCUUUUAUUUUCUCACUUUCAUUCAAAUGAAGCCCUAUAACAAGGCAGGAGAGAGAGAGUGAGAGCGAGAGAGAGAAGAAAAUAUGAGGUCAAAAUAACAAACGACAUUUAUCAAAAAAUAAAAUUGAUCUCUUUUGCUAUAGUAAAGGCUCU
Molecule: long non-coding RNA, 432 nt
Filed under: Crocodylus porosus (Australian saltwater crocodile)
Lineage: Eukaryota; Metazoa; Chordata; Crocodylia; Crocodylidae
Description: lncRNA (ENSCPRG00005004714.1)
Source: RNAcentral